GCAGAAUUGGGAUGGUUGAGUAUCUCGCCUCUCAGUUCUGCCUGUAUUCUACCCUUGUUUGUCAUAUACUAUUAUUUCCUCGGCAGGCUUGCUUGCCGAGUGAAACCAUUUAUAACCUUUUUAAUUUUCAAUCAGCGUCUGAAAAAAUUAAUAAUUACAACUUUCAACAACGGAUCUCUUGGUUCUGGCAUCGAUGAAGAACGCAGCGAAAUGCGAUAAGUAGUGUGAAUUGCAGAAUUCAGUGAAUCAUCGAAUCUUUGAACGCACAUUGCGCCCCUUGGUAUUCCAUGGGGCAUGCCUGUUCGAGCGUCAUUUGUACCUUCAAGCUUUGCUUGGUGUUGGGUGUUUGUCCCGAGGGACUCGCCUUAAAGUAAUUGGCAGCCAGUGUUUGGUUUUGAAGCGCAGCACAAGUCGCGAUUCAAGGCUACACGCCCGCUUCCACAAGCCUUUUUUCACUUUUGACCUCGGAUCAGGUAGGGAUACCCGCUGAACUUAAGCAUAUCAAUA
RNAcentral lists this ribosomal RNA (507 nucleotides) under fungal endophyte sp. ZY-2009. Its description in RNAcentral is "eukaryotic LSU rRNA". The stretch from base 159 to 312 matches the Rfam family "5.8S ribosomal RNA". The record is from RNAcentral. Lineage: Eukaryota; Fungi.